This is a long non-coding RNA of Mesocricetus auratus (golden hamster), 4123 nucleotides long. RefSeq lists it as uncharacterized. Lineage: Eukaryota; Metazoa; Chordata; Mammalia; Rodentia; Cricetidae. The record is from RefSeq and is a predicted model, not a curated record. The transcript has 4 exons.
ACACAGUGAAGUGAAGAUGUCCCUUUAUAUGUCCCCAUUGUCAUCUGCCUGGCACAUGGGUCAACUGACCAUGGAGAGACCCUUAAAACUGGAACCAUAUACAGCUUUCUACAUUAAAUUGGGAUAAUGAGAAGUCACUGGCAAACAGCUGACCUGAACAAGGGUCAAGGACUCUUUCCUGAAAUGCCCAAAAUGGAUUUUGUUAUCUCACUAUGCAUUGCUUAGAAUUCAGUCCAGCACCUAGACUUUGGCAAUCGACUGAAGCAACGGAUAUUAUAGAUAGUUGCAAACCUGAUUGAAGUAUUCAGAACCUGACCUUUUCAGGUUUUUCAAGUGAAAUUGCAGGAUGAUUUCAAUGAAAAUUCACAUUCAACUUCUCAACAGGAUGCCACAGGCAGAAGGAAGAUGCAAUAGAGAUUUAAGUUGUUUCCACUGAAGGCAUAGUGAAGACUACGGAAAUUCAAGUGACUCACCUCAAGAGGAACUGGGCAGUGGGAAGGCUAUGGAGAUCUCUACAAGGUCACAGUCAAUCUUUGCCUUUUAUCCUGACUGACUAGUCUUCAAAUAUUUUUCUUUUCACUGUCUACUUUCCCCAAGUUUUCUUUAUGGCAUGUUCCAAUCCUAAUUUCUGUACCUUCUUGACAUUGACUCACACAGAGGUGAGCAAAGAGUAACACGUCAUGUCCCCAGGCCUGAGGUGAGAAGGGUUGUGACUGAGAGGAUGCAGAGUCUACAUGGAGCAUACUAUUGAGAUACGGGGACAAAUAGCAGGAGUCAGACCUGGAUAGCAGAGAACUAACCUGUCAGGGGCUUCAUGCAAAGUACAAUUAUAGAGACACAAAAUUGAUUUUGUGCACAGUUGAGUUUGUGACUUAAAUUCAUACCAAACACAGAGAAAAUCCCAUAAAAUUGGAGAUUUAUGUCCACUAAACUCAUUCUUCCCAUACAGGUCCAUCUAUCAGGUGAAGCAGUAUUAAGUACUCACCUAUUCUCCUAUGAACCUUGAAGAGUUUGCAUAUAAUAUUAAACUUCAAUGAAUAUACUCUUUUACUUAUAAUUAGUAAAUUGAUUUGUCUGCUUAGUAAUGGUUCUCUGUUUUCUAUUUUAAAAAUCUAGAGCAUAGACACCAUUUUUGGCAGUUUCCCAAAAAUAUAUUGUCUUAUUCUCAGUCCUAAAGUACCCAAGGAUCAAUUAACUCUCAAUUAGCUCUCUAAUAGUCCUCUUGGAAUUCAGUGACUAUUUAUAGCACCUUAAUAUAACAAAACACUGUAUUACUAUGGUAGGAUGACAGGAUAUUAAGGGGUUAGUCUGCUUCUCAAAGAUUAAAGUCAAAGUAAUUUGUGUUUUCAUCUAAGGAUGAAAUAAAUAUGUAUUUUUAAAAAGUAAACAAUCAGAAGCUUCGUAUGUGAGAAGGGGAAGUGACUUGAGUGAGGGGUGGGACUAAGUAUAACGUGGAUAUCAGACAACAGAGCCAUGAUAAUUACUUAACAAUUUAAAAUGGUGACUUUACAUUUUGACAGGUUUUGAGAAUGGUACUGUAAUAACAGAACUGUUAAGAUCUCUGCAUCAGCAGGAUGCUGUGGAAAUAUGUCACUCUGGAGUCUGGCAUAUCAGGAAUUUGGUCAAUUAUUCAAUUGUGCUCUCCUCUAAUGACUAAGCAUCAGAAGUAUAAACAGGCCUUUAAGACAGGUCAUAUAUGUUUGAGUAUGCACAAUUCUUCUGUGUGGCAAAAAUAAUCAAAAUACGGUAUAGCACCUUUUAAUUUGUUCCCCCUUGAACAAUGUCAGAACAGUCUCCCAAGUGAACAUUUUCAAUCUUUAGCUUCUUUGGCUGAAUACAAUUACUGUAUCAGCACGAGGAGAGCGAGAGGAAGGAGUGGAAGGAAGGGAAAGCUAGAUUCAUUUGAAGUAUCUAAACUCUCAUGUAAAAGUCUGUUAGGUCUAGAAGGACUCCAGUGAUAGGCCAGUUAGUGAACUGUUUGCUGUGCCAGCAUGAGGACCUGUGCUUGGACCCCUAACACCCACAUAAAGUGCUGGGUUUAUACGCGCAGUUCUAAAAUCCUAGAGCUUGCAAGACCAGCAAGUCUUGUCAAAUCAAUGAGCUGCAGACUCAGUGAGAGAUUCUGCCUCACAAAACAUGGUGGGUGUGGGGAGUGACAGAAUAAGGUACCUGAUAUCGAUCUCUGCCCCCAAACAUACACACACCCUCACCCACUCACAAACACACAUUCACGUCCCUCUCUCUCCUACACACCCAUUUUUGAAUAUCAGCCAGCUAUCAUUGUCUUUUGACACCCAUCAUUUAAUCCUACUCUGGAAAAGUGCCCUAGUUGUCUUAAACAAGAAGAAAAAAAAUAAAACUCACCAGUACAGUAGCCUGUCCCAUUCUAAGUGACCUAAGCAUCAUUACCAGAACAAAUGUAGACUCACGUGUGACAAAGUAAAGCCAUUCUCAGUAUGAUUCAAACCUGUGGUUUUAGGGACUGAAUUACAAAUCAAAUAGGUGGGCUUCCUCUCCUGAGCCUGCUCUUGGGAUCACAAAAGCUGAUCUGCUGUAAAAUUACAUUAGUGCGUUUGGGUGGGGGAAAGGUUGUUGUUACAGUUCUUCUUUGUGAUGAAUCACUUGGGGGAUUUCUCUGUGAGAAAGCUUAAUUAUUUUCUCCAUUAAAAAAAUCCUCUUUGGCACUCUAGCUCCAGGAAGCAAACUUUACAAAGGAGGGGACGGCGUGGGAGAUCAUCUAAAAUGUCUUUCAGGUUCCUGUGAUGAAUAUGAAGCAGCAGAACAAAGAACACUCUCUCCUCCCACUAAAGAGUAAAGAUCCUACUUUAAUGCAUAGGGACAAUGAAUGCUGUCCCAUGUAGUAUCCUUUACCGAACUGCUUUAUCUUUUUUCCUCUCUCUCCCAGUGGGGCAGGAUCUUUCCUUCAUUCUUUAAGGAUAUCAGGUGGUAACAGGCAACACGGUAUUCAGGAAACCCUGGGUAGAAAUGUAGAUUUUCCCUUUCAUUGGACAGUGAACUAAAACAAGUGUUUCUGUCCCACAAGUCUUGUUCUCCAGGUAUAAAAUGAGAGAUAACUGCACUUGCCUCCCAAAUCACUUUUUUUGAGGAAUAAACAAGAUAGUACCAUGUAAGAGAUGUUGUAAAUUGUAAGUAUCAUCUAAUUAUUACAAGGUUGGAAAUGAGAAAUUGAUAGAGAAAUUAUUGUGGGGAUGGACCAAGAGAAAUGCUGUGCACUUGAGCUCUUUGUAGGUGGCCAUAGUAAGACAUCUUGUACAAAGUUUGACAUUGAAUAGCAUGGUUAAAAAUGGACCCUGAUCAGCUCAAAUAUAAUUUCAAGUACUGUAGAAUCUACUACUGAAAUAAAAAUACUCCCUUUUAAAGGAAAACUAAAAUUUUGGUAAAGACUAAAUUGUCUGGAGAGUGCAUACCCAAUUCUCUGAAUUCUUUAAAAAUUAUGUUUCCUUCUAUUUAUCUUCUUCCAGUCAAUCCCUGCUCCUCCAUCCAUCAUAUGUUGUCAGCAUAUCCUGUGCCACAUACUGUGUUUAGAAAGAAGAGUAACAGAAACUAUAUUGGGUUAUCACCACAUCACUUCAGUCUGUGUAGCUGUUGGCUGUCCUCUUUGUACCCUGACUUAUCUGCCCACAUUUUUCUCUAAUUCUGAAUCAACUCAACUUCUUUCUCCUCCAAUGAAGCAAUAAGUACUGACUUCAGUCUUCAGAGGUCACUCCUUAAAAUAGAAUAAAUAAACAGUUAUUUUUAUUUUAUGUGCAUGAGUGUUUUGCCUUCACACAUCAUGUGUAUGCCUGGUUCCUGAAGAAGUUAGAAGAUGUCAUUGGAUCCACUGGAAUUAGAGUUACUGAAGUUUAUAAGCUGCGUAUGAGAGUAUUGGGAAUGGAACCUGGGUUCUCUGGAAGAACAACCAUUGCUCAUAACUGCUGAGCCAUUUCUCCAGUCUUAGAAGUACCUUCUUACUUAGUGCUAUAGUAUCCCACAUUGUACUCAUAAUUUGCUAUUCUGAGUGACUGCUAGUGGUUUACUGUGCAUUUUAGUUUGAUCCAUCCAUCCAUCCAUCCAUCCAUCCAUCCAUGCAUGCAUCCAUGCAUCCAUGCAUCCAUCCAUCCAU